CAGCAGCCGCGGUAAUACGUAGGUGGCAAGCGUUGUCCGGAAUUAUUGGGCGUAAAGGGCUCGCAGGCGGUUUCUUAAGUCUGAUGUGAAAGCCCCCGGCUCAACCGGGGAGGGUCAUUGGAAACUGGGAAACUUGAGUGCAGAAGAGGAGAGUGGAAUUCCACGUGUAGCGGUGAAAUGCGUAGAGAUGUGGAGGAACACCAGUGGCGAAGGCGACUCUCUGGUCUGUAACUGACGCUGAGGAGCGAAAGCGUGGGGAGCGAGCAGGAUUAGAGACCCGCGUAGUCCCUGUCUCUUAUAA
RNAcentral lists this ribosomal RNA (301 nucleotides) under uncultured bacterium. RNAcentral's name for it is "partial 16S ribosomal RNA". It matches the Rfam family "Bacterial small subunit ribosomal RNA", at positions 509 to 809 of the family's 1533-position model. The record is from RNAcentral.